CUUCCUAAUGACAGACACGGGUCUCUGGGCAGUGAAUCAACAACCACAAGUGGAAGUGAGCGAGAGCCAGACACAAAUAUUGUCGUUCCCCUGACACCUCCCACCAGGCACCUCCAUGCUGGGCCUGGGUGAGGGCUGAAGCAGACACUGGGCCUGGUCCUGCCAGCAGGAUUUCCAUCUGCCAACACAGCUGAAGGUCCACCCUUGUCUUCUGUAUGGGCCCCACGGAGGGCUGCUGGCGGUGGUGGUGAGUUGGUGAUGUUGGAAAGGUGCUGGUGGUGCUGCCAGAUACCAUCAGCACAUGUGGGAAGGCAGAUGAAGUUCUUUAUCUGUACAAGCAUGAAGACACCAAGACACACGUGGGAUUGCUUUUGCCUGAGGCCACACUGCAUCAAUUGUCCUGAAAAGAGUCACUCUGCAGUUGAUACAGGUGCGAUUUCAUGCUCGGAAACUGACUGCCAAGUUGUGUGAGCACCCCGGGACUGUAAGUGAUAAAACAAAAUUACGCAUGUAGUGGGAGUGGGCAAACAGCAGAUUUACGCGUUGCAGGCAGUUUCAGUGAUGUGCGUACCUGGCCAUAAUCUUGUUUUGGUUCCAUUGAAGCUUUCUUUUUUUUGCAAAUCAACAGGCUGGGGGAGGAAAAAAAGUCAUCAGUUUUGAUCAAAUUAAAUGUCUUGUUCAGUGUGAAAAAGAACACUUAUUUUGGUGACUGAGCUCUGCAAACAUUGUCUAAUAGAAUCCAAAUAACAUCAGAAAGGAAAUGUCAUUCUGAACCAGCGAUCAGAGGGCUUUUUUAGGAUGUGUCAAAAGAGAAGGCGCCCAGUUUUCUGGAGUGUUUUUUUCCUAGGGCUUCAGUUUAGCUACUUUGAACAGCACAAGCUGAUGGAAAUGCCACAAAUUCACAGGCAGCUCAGAUGUGGAUCUUCCUAAGAAAAACUGUCCUAAGGAGAGGAGUCUGUCAGGCAGCCUGUCUGUGUCUCCAUGAAUGAGGUGCAGACCAGCUCCAGAGUGAGGCCAUGGUGGUUCUCUGCCAGCCGGAGCGAGCUUUGCUGUGGGGACGCCAGCCCCCCUUCACCGUGUCCCCCCCUGCUCCUCCUGUGCAAAAGUUAUUGUCGUCUUCGUGGAGUCUCAGGUAGGCAGAUGAAUGGGAAAUGUUCCUCUCCAUUACUAGCUGCACUUGACUGGAGUCUCAUUACAUUACGAUGGCGCUUUAGCAGGCGAAUGGGCCUUGCGUCUGGGUUCCCAGCACCCCUCAUACCUCCCUGAUAACGUAAAUUACCCUCCGCCUCAUUGCCUCAAAUGAUCAAACAUCAAAUUGCUAGUAAAAAAAAAAAAAAAAAAAAAAAAGAAGAAGAAGAAAAAAAAAAGAAAAAAAAAAAGAGGAAAAAAGAGAGAGAGAGAGAGGAGGGAAAGGAGAAAAGCUGAACAGAACCAUGGGUUGAAUCUAGAUGGUUUGU
RNAcentral lists this long non-coding RNA (1457 nucleotides) under Coturnix japonica (Japanese quail). Its description in RNAcentral is "lncRNA (ENSCJPG00005018846.1)". Lineage: Eukaryota; Metazoa; Chordata; Aves; Galliformes; Phasianidae. The record is from RNAcentral.